This 435-nucleotide ribosomal RNA is filed under the name uncultured bacterium. RNAcentral describes it as "bacterial SSU rRNA". It matches the Rfam family "Bacterial small subunit ribosomal RNA", at positions 954 to 1386 of the family's 1533-position model. The record is from RNAcentral.
GCAUAACGCGAAGAACCUUACCAGGCCUUGACAUGCAGAGAACUUUCCAGAGAUGGAUUGGUGCCUUCGGGAACUCUGACACAGGUGCUGCAUGGCUGUCGACAGCUCGUGUCGUGAGAUGUUGGGUUAAGUCCCGUAACGAGCGCAACCCUGUCCUUAGUUACCAGCACGUUAUGGUGGGCACGUCUAAGGAGACUGCCGGUGACAAACCGGAGGAAGGUGGGGAUGACGUCAAGUCAUCAUGGCCCUUACGGCCUAGGGCUACACACGUGCUACAAUGGUCGGUACAGAGGGUUGCCAAGCCGCGAGGUGGAGCUAAUCCCAGAAAACCGAUCCCAGUCCGGAUCGGAGUCUGCAACUCGACUCCGUGAAGUCGGAAUCGCUAGUAAUCGCGAAUCAGCUAUGUCGCGGUGAAUACGUUCCCGGGUCUUGUAC